UUAAGCGACUAAGCGUACACGGUGGAUGCCUAGGCAGUCAGAGGCGAUGAAGGGCGUGCUAAUCUGCGAAAAGCGUCGGUAAGCUGAUAUGAAGCGUUAUAACCGACGAUACCCGAAUGGGGAAACCCAGUGCAAUACGUUGCACUAUCGUUAGAUGAAUACAUAGUCUAACGAGGCGAACCGGGGGAACUGAAACAUCUAAGUACCCCGAGGAAAAGAAAUCAACCGAGAUUCCCCCAGUAGCGGCGAGCGAACGGGGAGGAGCCCAGAGUCUGAAUCAGUUUGUGUGUUAGUGGAAGCGUCUGGAAAGUCGCACGGUACAGGGUGAUAGUCCCGUACACCAAAAUGCACAGGCUGUGAACUCGAUGAGUAGGGCGGGACACGUGACAUCCUGUCUGAAUAUGGGGGGACCAUCCUCCAAGGCUAAAUACUCCUGACUGACCGAUAGUGAACCAGUACCGUGAGGGAAAGGCGAAAAGAACCCCGGCGAGGGGAGUGAAAUAGAACCUGAAACCGUGUACGUACAAGCAGUGGGAGCACCUUCGUGGUGUGACUGCGUACCUUUUGUAUAAUGGGUCAGCGACUUAUAUUUUGUAGCAAGGUUAACCGAAUAGGGGAGCCGUAGGGAAACCGAGUCUUAACUGGGCGUCUAGUUGCAAGGUAUAGACCCGAAACCCGGUGAUCUAGCCAUGGGCAGGUUGAAGGUUGGGUAACACUAACUGGAGGACCGAACCGACUAAUGUUGAAAAAUUAGCGGAUGACUUGUGGCUGGGGGUGAAAGGCCAAUCAAACCGGGAGAUAGCUGGUUCUCCCCGAAAGCUAUUUAGGUAGCGCCUCGUGAACUCAUCUUCGGGGGUAGAGCACUGUUUCGGCUAGGGGGCCAUCCCGGCUUACCAAACCGAUGCAAACUCCGAAUACCGAAGAAUGUUAUCACGGGAGACACACGGCGGGUGCUAACGUCCGUCGUGAAGAGGGAAACAACCCAGACCGCCAGCUAGGGUCCCAAAGUCAUGGUUAAGUGGGAAACGAUGUGGGAAGGCACAGACAGCCAGGAUGUUGGCUUAGAAGCAGCCAUCAUUUAAAGAAAGCGUAAUAGCUCACUGGUCGAGUCGGCCUGCGCGGAAGAUGUAACGGGGCUAAACCAUGCACCGAAGCUGCGGCAGCGACACUUAGGUGUUGUUGGGUAGGGGAGCGUUCUGUAAGCCGUUGAAGGUGACCUGUGAGGGUUGCUGGAGGUAUCAGAAGUGCGAAUGCUGACAUAAGUAACGAUAAUGCGGGUGAAAAACCCGCACGCCGGAAGACCAAGGGUUCCUGUCCAACGUUAAUCGGGGCAGGGUGAGUCGACCCCUAAGGCGAGGCUGAAAAGCGUAGUCGAUGGGAAACAGGUUAAUAUUCCUGUACUUGGUGUUACUGCGAAGGGGGGACGGAGAAGGCUAGGCUGGCCGGGCGACGGUUGUCCCGGUUUUAAGCGUGUAGGGGGAGUGACCAGGUAAAUCCGGUUGCUUAUCAACCCUGAGGCGUGAUGACGAUGCACCACGGUGCAGAAGCAGUUGAUGCCAUGCUUCCAGGAAAAGCCUCUAAGCAUCAGGUAACAUUAAAUCGUACCCCAAACCGACACAGGUGGUCAGGUAGAGAAUACUCAGGCGCUUGAGAGAACUCGGGUGAAGGAACUAGGCAAAAUGGUGCCGUAACUUCGGGAGAAGGCACGCUGGCGUUAGGUGAAAGGACUAGCUCCUGGAGCUGAAGCCAGUCGCAGAUACCAGCUGGCUGCAACUGUUUAAUAAAAACACAGCACUGUGCAAACACGAAAGUGGACGUAUACGGUGUGACGCCUGCCCGGUGCUGGAAGGUUAAUUGAUGGGGUCAGCCGCAAGGCGAAGCUCUUGAUCGAAGCCCCAGUAAACGGCGGCCGUAACUAUAACGGUCCUAAGGUAGCGAAAUUCCUUGUCGGGUAAGUUCCGACCUGCACGAAUGGCGUAAUGAUGGCCAGGCUGUCUCCACCCGAGACUCAGUGAAAUUGAACUCGCUGUGAAGAUGCAGUGUACCCGCGGCAAGACGGAAAGACCCCGUGAACCUUUACUAUAGCUUGACACUGAACAUUGAGCCUUGAUGUGUAGGAUAGGUGGGAGGCCUUGAAGUGUGGACGCCAGUCUGCAUGGAGCCAACCUUGAAAUACCACCCUUUAAUGUUUGAUGUUCUAACUCGGCCCCAUGAUCUGGGGUGAGGACAGUGUCUGGUGGGUAGUUUGACUGGGGCGGUCUCCUCCCAAAGAGUAACGGAGGAGCACGAAGGUUAGCUAAUCACGGUCGGACAUCGUGAGGUUAGUGCAAAGGCAUAAGCUAGCUUGACUGCGAGAGUGACGGCUCGAGCAGGUACGAAAGUAGGUCUUAGUGAUCCGGUGGUUCUGAAUGGAAGGGCCAUCGCUCAACGGAUAAAAGGUACUCCGGGGAUAACAGGCUGAUACCGCCCAAGAGUUCAUAUCGACGGCGGUGUUUGGCACCUCGAUGUCGGCUCAUCACAUCCUGGGGCUGAAGUAGGUCCCAAGGGUAUGGCUGUUCGCCAUUUAAAGUGGUACGCGAGCUGGGUUUAGAACGUCGUGAGACAGUUCGGUCCCUAUCUGCCGUGGGCGUUGGAAGAUUGAGAGGGGCUGCUCCUAGUACGAGAGGACCGGAGUGGACGAAUCACUGGUGUUCGGGUUGUCAUGCCAAUGGCAUUGCCCGGUAGCUAAAUUCGGAAGAGAUAACCGCUGAAAGCAUCUAAGCGGGAAACUUGCCUCGAGAUGAGUCUUCCCUGGGGCUUAAAGCCCCCUGAAGGAACGUUAAAGACUAUGACGUUGAUAGGCUGGGUGUGUAAGUGCAGCGAUGUAUUGAGCUAACCAGUACUAAUGAUCCGUGAGGCUUAACCUU
RNAcentral lists this ribosomal RNA (2906 nucleotides) under Yersinia pestis 14735. RNAcentral's name for it is "bacterial LSU rRNA". It matches the Rfam family "Bacterial large subunit ribosomal RNA". The record is from RNAcentral. Lineage: Bacteria; Pseudomonadati; Pseudomonadota; Gammaproteobacteria; Enterobacterales; Yersiniaceae.